RNAcentral lists this ribosomal RNA (705 nucleotides) under uncultured bacterium. RNAcentral's name for it is "bacterial SSU rRNA". It matches the Rfam family "Bacterial small subunit ribosomal RNA", at positions 8 to 745 of the family's 1533-position model. The record is from RNAcentral.
AGAGUUUGAUCCUGACUCAGAAUCAACGCUGGCGGCGUGCCUAACACAUGCAAGUCGCACGAGAAAGGGGAGCAAUCCCUGAGUAUAGUGGCGCACGGGUGAGUAACACGUGACUAACCUACCCUCGAGUGGGGAAUAACCUAGGGAAACCUGGGCUAAUACCGCAUAACACUUACGAGUCAAAGCAGCAAUGCGCUUGGGGAGGGGGUCGCGGCCGAUUAGCUAGUUGGCGGGGUAAUGGCCCACCAAGGCAAUGAUCGGUAUCCGGCCUGAGAGGGCGCACGGACACACUGGAACUGAAACACGGUCCAGACUCCUACGGGAGGCAGCAGUGGGGAAUUUUGCGCAAUGGGGGAAACCCUGACGCAGCAACGCCGCGUGGAGGAUGAAGUCUCUUGGGACGUAAACUCCUUUCGAUCGGGAAGAUAAUGACGGUACCGAUAGAAGAAGCCCCGGCUAACUUCGUGCCAGCAGCCGCGGUAAUACGAGGGGGGCAAGCGUUGUUCGGAAUUAUUGGGCGUAAAGGGUGCGUAGGCGGUCUGGUAAGUCUUGUGUGAAAUCUUCAGGCUCAACCUGAAGUCUGCAUGAGAAACUGCCGGGCUUGAGUAUGGGAGAGGUGAGUGGAAUUUCCGGUGUAGCGGUGAAAUGCGUAGAUAUCGGAAGGAACACCUGUGGCGAAAGCGGCUCACUGGACCAUAACUGACG